RNAcentral lists this ribosomal RNA (253 nucleotides) under uncultured bacterium. RNAcentral's name for it is "partial 16S ribosomal RNA". It matches the Rfam family "Bacterial small subunit ribosomal RNA", at positions 524 to 776 of the family's 1533-position model. The record is from RNAcentral.
UACGAAGGGGGCUAGCGUUGUUCGGAUUUACUGGGCGUAAAGCGCACGUAGGCGGAUCCUUAAGUCAGGGGUGAAAUCCCGGGGCUCAACCUCGGAACUGCCUUUGAUACUGGGGAUCUCGAGUCCGGGAGAGGUGAGCGGAACUGCGAGUGUAGAGGUGAAAUUCGUAGAUAUUCGCAAGAACACCAGUGGCGAAGGCGGCUCACUGGCCCGGUACUGACGCUGAGGUGCGAAAGCGUGGGGAGCAAACAGG